This 281-nucleotide small RNA is filed under the name Macaca mulatta (Rhesus monkey). Its description in RNAcentral is "Metazoan signal recognition particle RNA (ENSMMUG00000062415.1)". The record is from RNAcentral. Lineage: Eukaryota; Metazoa; Chordata; Mammalia; Primates; Cercopithecidae.
GCCGGGUGUGGUGGCGCACACUUGUAAUCCCAGCUACUCGGGAGGCUGAGGCAGGAGAAUCACUUGAACCUGGGAGGCGGAGGUUGCGGUGAGCCAAGAUCACGCCAUUGCACUUCAGCCUGGGCAACAAGAGUGAAACUCCGUCUCAAAGAAAAAAAAAAUUUUUUUUUUUUUUUUUUUGAGACGGAGUCUCGCUCUGUCGCCCAGACUGGAGUGCAGUGGCCGGAUCUCAGCUCACUGCAAGCUCCGCCUCCCGGGUUUACGCUAUUCUCCUGCCUCAG